RNAcentral lists this ribosomal RNA (462 nucleotides) under uncultured bacterium. Its description in RNAcentral is "partial 16S ribosomal RNA". It matches the Rfam family "Bacterial small subunit ribosomal RNA", at positions 29 to 507 of the family's 1533-position model. The record is from RNAcentral.
AACAAACGCUGGCGGCGUGCUUAAUACAUGCAAGUCGAACGGGGAAAGCUUUCGGGUGUGUACUAGUGGCGUGCGGGAGAGGAACGUGUGGAUAAUCUGCCUUAGAGUUGGGGAUAACUUGUCGUAAGAUUAGCUAAUAUAGUAUAAGAUCACGACAGCUGCGGCUUUUGAGGUCAAAGGAUUUUUGCUCUAAGAGGAGUGCGCGUAAGCAUAUUUAGUUGGUGAGGUAACGGCUCACUAAGGCGACGGUCUUUAACUGGCCUGAGGGGAUGAUCAGUCACUCGGAAACUGAUACACGGUACAGACUCCUACGAGAGACGGCAGGAGAAAAUAGUGCACAAGGGAGAAGACUCUGGUACAACGGCGCCGCGUGGGAGAUCAACGCCUUCGUGGCGUAAAGCUCUGUCGCAGGACAAUAACACAAUGAAGGUACCCGGUAAAAAAGCAUCGGCUAACUUCGUG